Molecule: ribosomal RNA, 395 nt
Filed under: uncultured bacterium
Lineage: Bacteria
Description: partial 16S ribosomal RNA
Rfam family: Bacterial small subunit ribosomal RNA
Source: RNAcentral
AAUAUUGCACAAUGGGCGAAAGCCUGAUGCAGCAACGCCGCGUGAACGAAGAAGGCCUUCGGGUCGUAAAGUUCUGUCCAAGAGGACGAUAAUGACGGUACUCCUGGAGGAAGCCCCGGCUAACUACGUGCCAGCAGCCGCGGUAAUACGUAGGGGGCAAGCGUUAACCGGAAUUAUUGGGCAUAAAGGGUGCGUAGGCGGGUUCUUAAGCGUGGGGUGAAAUGCAAUAGCUCAACGAUGGUAAGCCUUGCGAACUGGGGAGCUUGAGUGCAGGAGAGGAAAGCGGAAUUCCUAGUGUAGCGGUGAAAUGCGUAGAUAUUAGGAGGAACACCAGUGGCGAAGGCGGCUUUCUGGACUGUAACUGACGCUGAGGCACGAAAGCGUGGGUAGCGAAC